Molecule: ribosomal RNA, 342 nt
Filed under: uncultured Chlorophyta
Lineage: Eukaryota; Viridiplantae; Chlorophyta
Description: SSU rRNA
Rfam family: Eukaryotic small subunit ribosomal RNA
Source: RNAcentral
CAAUAGCGUAUAUUUAAGUUGUUGCAGUUAAAAAGCUCGUAGUUGGAUUUCGGGUGGGUUGGCGCGGUCCGCCUCUGGUGUGCACUGCGCCGGUCCACCUUCCUGCCGGGGACGGGCUCCUGGGCUUCACUGUCUGGGACUCGGAGUCGGCAAUGUUACUUUGAGUAAAUUAGAGUGUUCAAAGCAGGCCUACGCUCUGAAUAUGUUAGCAUGGAAUAACGCGAUAGGACUCUGGCCUAUCCGUUGGUCUGUGGGACCGGAGUAAUGAUUAAGAGGGACAGUCGGGGGCAUUCGUAUUCCGUUGUCAGAGGUGAAAUUCUUGGAUUUACGGAAGACGAACUU